RNAcentral lists this ribosomal RNA (499 nucleotides) under uncultured bacterium. RNAcentral describes it as "bacterial SSU rRNA". It matches the Rfam family "Bacterial small subunit ribosomal RNA", at positions 28 to 519 of the family's 1533-position model. The record is from RNAcentral.
GAUGAACGCUAGCGGCAGGCUUAAUACAUGCAAGUCGAGGGGCAGCAGGUCUGUAGCAAUACAGAUGCUGGCGACCGGCAAACGGGUGCGGAACACGUACAGAACCUUCCUUCGAGCGGGGAAUAGCCCAGAGAAAUUUGGAUUAAUACCCCAUAGUACAUUGAAGAGGCAUCUCUUUAAUAUUAAAGAUUUAUCACUUGAAGAUGGCUGUGCGGCUGAUUAGGUAGUUGGCGGGGUAACGGCCCACCAAGCCUACGAUCAGUAACUGGUGUGAGAGCACGACCAGUUACACGGGCACUGAGACACGGGCCCGACUCCUACGGGAGGCAGCAGUAAGGAAUAUUGGUCAAUGGACGCAAGUCUGAACCAGCCAUGCCGCGUGGAGGAUGAAGGUCCUCUGGAUUGUAAACUUCUUUUAUAUGGGACGAAAAAGGCUUUUCUAAGUCGUCUGACGGUACCAUAUGAAUAAGCACCGGCUAACUCCGUGCCAGCCGCCGCC